RNAcentral lists this ribosomal RNA (253 nucleotides) under uncultured bacterium. RNAcentral's name for it is "partial 16S ribosomal RNA". It matches the Rfam family "Bacterial small subunit ribosomal RNA", at positions 524 to 776 of the family's 1533-position model. The record is from RNAcentral.
UACAGAGGGCGCGAGCGUUGUCCGGAAUUACUGGGCGUAAAGGGCGCGUAGGCGGCCUUCUAAGUCGAACGUGAAAUCCCCGGGCUCAACCCGGGAACUGCGUCCGAUACUGGAAGGCUUGAAUCCGGGAGAGGGAUGCGGAAUUCCAGGUGUAGCGGUGAAAUGCGUAGAUAUCUGGAGGAACACCGGUGGCGAAGGCGGCAUCCUGGACCGGCAUUGACGCUGAGGCGCGAAAGCCAGGGGAGCAAACGGG